Long non-coding RNA from Saccostrea cuccullata (small rock oyster), 479 nucleotides. RefSeq lists it as uncharacterized. NCBI's taxonomy places the organism in Eukaryota, Metazoa, Mollusca, Bivalvia, Ostreida, Ostreidae. The transcript has 5 exons. The record is from RefSeq and is a predicted model, not a curated record.
AUGAGAUUUAACAUAUUUCUUUUGUUUCAACAGUUAAUUUUCUGAGGGAGAACACAAUUCUUUUGGCUGGAGUUGGAGGAGGGGUUCUUACAUUGAUCUUAGUUGUCAUAGUGGCGGUUAUAAUAUGGGAUAUUAGAAGAAAAAAGAGGCAAAAACACAUUACACUAAACGGAAAUCAUAACCAACAAGGAGAAGCAGAGAAUUUGACGACGGUCCCAUCUUCCGAUGAACGAAUUUACGCGAGACCGUUUUCGUUUGGCAAUAACAAUAACGGAAAAGCUUCUACAGAAGCCCAAAGAUUAACAGAUCGUGAAAAGCAAAUUGAACUAGAACGUAGACAAUGUGCAAGCAUGUACAGCUAUGGAGGAUUCUCAGUGAAUGAGUUUCAAGAUGAUGAAAUCAUGUACGACAACCAAUUUGCCCCAGAGUACAAAUAAUAUUUAAUACUAUAAUGACGUUUUCAAUGCUUUAUUUUGAAG